ACUGUCGUGUCUAAGCUAAGCAGGAGAAGCUCUCCCUUGAGAAAGAUACCUCACACCCCGAGUGGGUCAAACCAGACCUCUUCAUUAUAUAACCCCACAGACGAGCAACCCCAAGCAGAAUGUCAACCUCCCAGCACAGAGUUCUACUCCCUCAUUGAAAUGAAAGAUACAUUUACCCAGCUGGAGGUAAGGCAGGUGGAGCUAGAACAGCAGGUGAUUACACUCGUCAGCACAGACCCAGACAACAGUCCAUCACAACAACACCCCCUUAACCAGAGCUGGAGAGAUGGAGCUGGAGAGAGACAUAUCUGCACUCUGGACUGUGGUGAGACAAAUACAACAGGAGAAAAAGCAGAAGCAGGAGAAGAACAGAGCACCAGAGGAGAGGAUCAGACUGCUGGAGGAGAGGGUGAAAACCCAUUGAAAAGCGAGUGACCUCAAAAAAAAGAAGAUCUGAAUGGUGACUACCUCAUGAAGCUGGUUGAGAGAAUGCCAAGAGUGUGCAAAGCUGUCAACAAGGCAAAGGGUUGCUACUUUGAAGAAUCUCAUAUAAAACAUAUUUUGAUUUGUUUAACACUUUUUAUGUGUUAUUUCAUAUUUUUGAUGUCCUCACUAUUAUUCUACAAUGUAGAAAAUAGUCAAAUAAAGGAAAACCCUUGAAGGAG
This is a long non-coding RNA of Oncorhynchus keta (chum salmon), 665 nucleotides long. RefSeq lists it as uncharacterized. Lineage: Eukaryota; Metazoa; Chordata; Actinopteri; Salmoniformes; Salmonidae. The record is from RefSeq and is a predicted model, not a curated record. The transcript is spliced from 2 exons.